This 1717-nucleotide ribosomal RNA is filed under the name Salmonella enterica subsp. enterica serovar Weltevreden. Its description in RNAcentral is "partial 23S ribosomal RNA". It matches the Rfam family "Bacterial large subunit ribosomal RNA", at positions 556 to 2141 of the family's 2925-position model. Lineage: Bacteria; Pseudomonadati; Pseudomonadota; Gammaproteobacteria; Enterobacterales; Enterobacteriaceae. The record is from RNAcentral.
CCGUGUACGUACAAGCAGUGGGAGCCCCACCACCAAAGCGUUUCGCUUUGUGUGGUGCACAAAGAAGCGUAACGACAGCACUGAAUGACGGUUAACGGAGCGCAAGCGACGUUCAACAUACAAAGUCAAGCAGUGGAGCGCUUUGGGGUGGGGUGACUGCGUACCUUUUGUAUAAUGGGUCAGCGACUUAUAUUCUGUAGCAAGGUUAACCGAAUAGGGGAGCCGGAGGGAAACCGAGUCUUAACCGGGCGUUAAGUUGCAGGGUAUAGACCCGAAACCCGGUGAUCUAGCCAUGGGCAGGUUGAAGGUUGGGUAACACUAACUGGAGGACCGAACCGACUAAUGUUGAAAAAUUAGCGGAUGACCUGUGGCUGGGGGUGAAAGGCCAAUCAAACCGGGAGAUAGCUGGUUCUCCCCGAAAGCUAUUUAGGUAGCGCCUCGUGAAUUCAUCUCCGGGGGUAGAGCACUGUUUCGGCUAGGGGGCCAUCCCGGCUUACCAACCCGAUGCAAACUGCGAAUACCGGAGAAUGUUAUCACGGGAGACACACGGCGGGUGCUAACGUCCGUCGUGAAGAGGGAAACAACCCAGACCGCCAGCUAAGGUCCCAAAGUCAUGGUUAAGUGGGAAACGAUGUGGGAAGGCCCAGACAGCCAGGAUGUUGGCUUAGAAGCAGCCAUCAUUUAAAGAAAGCGUAAUAGCUCACUGGUCGAGUCGGCCUGCGCGGAAGAUGUAACGGGGCUAAACCAUGCACCGAAGCUGCGGCAGCGACGCUUAUGCGUUGUUGGGUAGGGGAGCGUUCUGUAAGCCUGUGAAGGUGGCCUGUGAGGGUUGCUGGAGGUAUCAGAAGUGCGAAUGCUGACAUAAGUAACGAUAAAGCGGGUGAAAAGCCCGCUCGCCGGAAGACCAAGGGUUCCUGUCCAACGUUAAUCGGGGCAGGGUGAGUCGACCCCUAAGGCGAGGCCGAAAGGCGUAGUCGAUGGGAAACGGGUUAAUAUUCCCGUACUUGGUGUUACUGCGAAGGGGGGACGGAGAAGGCUAUGUUGGCCGGGCGACGGUUGUCCCGGUUUAAGCGUGUAGGUGUGUGUUCCAGGUAAAUCCGGUUCACUUUAACACUGAGGCGUGACGACGAGGCACUACGGUGCUGAAGCAACAAAUGCCCUGCUUCCAGGAAAAGCCUCUAAGCAUCAGGUAACAUCAAAUCGUACCCCAAACCGACACAGGUGGUCAGGUAGAGAAUACCAAGGCGCUUGAGAGAACUCGGGUGAAGGAACUAGGCAAAAUGGUGCCGUAACUUCGGGAGAAGGCACGCUGACAUGUAGGUGAAGUGAUUUACUCAUGGAGCUGAAGUCAGUCGAAGAUACCAGCUGGCUGCAACUGUUUAUUAAAAACACAGCACUGUGCAAACACGAAAGUGGACGUAUACGGUGUGACGCCUGCCCGGUGCCGGAAGGUUAAUUGAUGGGGUCAGCGCAAGCGAAGCUCCUGAUCGAAGCCCCGGUAAACGGCGGCCGUAACUAUAACGGUCCUAAGGUAGCGAAAUUCCUUGUCGGGUAAGUUCCGACCUGCACGAAUGGCGUAAUGAUGGCCAGGCUGUCUCCACCCGAGACUCAGUGAAAUUGAACUCGCUGUGAAGAUGCAGUGUACCCGCGGCAAGACGGAAAGACCCCGUGAACCUUUACUAUAGCUUGACACUGAACAUUGAGCCUUGAUGUGUAG